RNAcentral lists this ribosomal RNA (207 nucleotides) under uncultured bacterium. RNAcentral's name for it is "partial 16S ribosomal RNA". It matches the Rfam family "Bacterial small subunit ribosomal RNA", at positions 128 to 334 of the family's 1533-position model. The record is from RNAcentral.
GCCCCGGACUCCGGGAUAGCUACCCGAAAGGGUAGGUAAUACCGGAUGACAUAACCUUUCCGCAUGGUGAGGUUCUCAAAGGUCCGCCGGUUUGGGAGCGGGCGAUUUCGUAUCAGCUAGUUGGUGGGGUAACGGCCCACCAAGGCGACGACGCGUAGCCGGACUGAGAGGUUGGCCGGCCACAUUGGGGACUGAGACACUGCCCAG